Molecule: long non-coding RNA, 895 nt
Organism: Orbicella faveolata
Lineage: Eukaryota; Metazoa; Cnidaria; Anthozoa; Scleractinia; Merulinidae
Source: RefSeq, a predicted model, not a curated record
GAGAACAGGUUGAACACGAAGCCGUCCAAACGAACGGCGUGAAACGAAAGAAAGAGAAGAAAAGAAAGAAGGAAAAGAGGAAGAAGACUAAAGUCGAUGAGGAGAAAAAGGAAAAGAAGCACAAGAAACAUAAGAAAGAAAAAUUUAAAGAGAAAACGUGAGGUUCAGAACCUCCAUAAUGGGGCUCAAUGGAAAAAAACCGACGAAUAGUAGUUCGUUUAUGCUCAACUCCGAAAGCAUCCGACCACGACGUGUGAUGCUAACCGACUUAGCCGAAGGUUAUCCGACGCUUCUUAAGUAAAUCCGACAGCUCCCGACUAAAAGCUGGCCGGUUGGACUUUCUCAGAGUCCGUUUCCGCUGUUUUGAUAGUCGGGCGGAAACCGUCGCUCACCUAUCGCGACUUCGUCGCUCAUUUUAUAGAAGUAGAAGUCGAGUUGUGGCAAGUCGAGGCUACAGUCGGAGAUUGCUGAGAAGAAAACGCAAAAUUGUCAAUUAAUUCCGAGAGUGCCCGAUCAAACCAUAAGCAACUAUCGAACCUUUGUGUACAGCUGAGGGCGGUGUACACAGGCUCAUCCGACCAGGGGAAGGUUUGUCAAGUUAUCCUUAAUCAGUGCUAUCAACUCCGAUAGUAACCGACUAAACUGCUCUACGAUAAUUAAGAUUGUCAAAGAGUGACAGUGCAUUGUUCUGCUUCCUUCAGGAUAAUUUAACAUAGUUAGAAAGCAUUGAUUGCGUCCUGAAAGUACCCCGGCUGAAAAUGAUCAUUUCAGAGCGCUCUGUCAAGUCCGAAAAUCAUGCCAUGGUGCUUCGACCUGUGCGUCGUUGGAGCAUAACCGACGAUUAACCGAAGAUCACCCGAUUAUAUUCGAUUAACCUCCCCACCCCUCACUCCCC